RNAcentral lists this unclassified non-coding RNA (342 nucleotides) under soil metagenome. RNAcentral's name for it is "partial contains 5.8S ribosomal RNA, internal transcribed spacer 2, and large subunit ribosomal RNA". The stretch from base 1 to 120 matches the Rfam family "5.8S ribosomal RNA", at positions 35 to 154 of the family's 154-position model. The record is from RNAcentral.
GAUGAAGAACGUAGCGAAAUGCGAUAAGUAAUGUGAAUUGCAGAAUUCAGUGAAUCAUCGAAUCUUUGAACGCACAUUGCGCCCGCCAGCAUUCUGGCGGGCAUGCCUGUUCGAGCGUCAUUUCAACCCUCGAGCCCCCCCGGGGGCCUCGGUGUUGGGGGACGGCACACCAGCCGCCCCCGAAAUGCAGUGGCGACCCCGCCGCAGCCUCCCCUGCGUAGUAGCACACACCUCGCACCGGAGCGCGGAGGCGGUCACGCCGUAAAACGCCCAACUUUCUUAGAGUUGACCUCGGAUCAGGUAGGAAUACCCGCUGAACUUAAGCAUAUCAAAAGCGGAGGA